This 778-nucleotide ribosomal RNA is filed under the name Streptococcus pneumoniae. RNAcentral describes it as "bacterial LSU rRNA". It matches the Rfam family "Bacterial large subunit ribosomal RNA", at positions 1 to 785 of the family's 2925-position model. The record is from RNAcentral. Lineage: Bacteria; Bacillati; Bacillota; Bacilli; Lactobacillales; Streptococcaceae.
AUAAGGUUAAGUUAAUAAGGGCGCACGGUGGAUGCCUUGGCACUAGGAGCCGACGAAGGACGUGACAAACGACGAUAUGCCUUGGGUAGCUGUAAGUAAGCGAUGAUCCAGGGAUUUCCGAAUGGGGGAACCCAACAGGUAAUACCUGUUACCCACAUCUGUUAAGGAUGUGAGGAGGAAGACGCAGUGAACUGAAACAUCUAAGUAGCUGCAGGAAGAGAAAGCAAAAGCGAUUGCCUUAGUAGCGGCGAGCGAAACGGCAGAAGGGCAAACCGAAGAGUUUACUCUUCGGGGUUGUAGGACUGCAAUGUGGACUCAAAGAUUAUAGAAGAAUGAUUUGGGAAGAUCAGCCAAAGAGAGUAAUAGCCUCGUAUUUAAAAUAGUCUUUGUACCUAGCAGUAUCCUGAGUACGGCGGGACACGUGAAAUCCCGUCGGAAUCUGGGAGGACCAUCUCCCAACCCUAAAUACUCCCUAGUGACCGAUAGUGAACCAGUACCGUGAGGGAAAGGUGAAAAGCACCCCGGGAGGGGAGUGAAAUAGAACCUGAAACCGUGUGCCUACAACAAGUUCGAGCCCGUUAAUGGGUGAGAGCGUGCCUUUUGUAGAAUGAACCGGCGAGUUACGUUAUGAUGCGAGGUUAAGUUGAAGAGACGGAGCCGUAGGGAAACCGAGUCUGAAUAGGGCGCCUUAGUAUCAUGACGUAGACCCGAAACCAUGUGACCUACCCAUGAGCAGGUUGAAGGUGCGGUAAGACGCACUGGAGGACCGAACCAGGGC